UACGAAGGGGGCUAGCGUUGUUCGGAAUUACUGGGCGUAAAGCGCACGUAGGCGGGUUGUUAAGUCAGGGGUGAAAUCCUGGAGCUCAACUCCAGAACUGCCUUUGAUACUGGCGAGCUUGAGUUCGGGAGAGGUGAGUGGAACUGCGAGUGUAGAGGUGAAAUUCGUAGAUAUUCGCAAGAACACCAGUGGCGAAGGCGGCUCACUGGCCCGAUACUGACGCUGAGGUGCGAAAGCGUGGGGAGCAAACAGG
RNAcentral lists this ribosomal RNA (253 nucleotides) under uncultured bacterium. RNAcentral describes it as "partial 16S ribosomal RNA". It matches the Rfam family "Bacterial small subunit ribosomal RNA", at positions 524 to 776 of the family's 1533-position model. The record is from RNAcentral.